Molecule: ribosomal RNA, 506 nt
Filed under: uncultured bacterium
Lineage: Bacteria
Description: partial 16S ribosomal RNA
Rfam family: Bacterial small subunit ribosomal RNA
Source: RNAcentral
AGUGAACGCUGGCGGUAGGCCUAACACAUGCAAGUCGAACGGCAGCACAGGAGAGCUUGCUCUCUGGGUGGCGAGUGGCGGACGGGUGAGGAAUACAUCGGAAUCUACCUUUUCGUGGGGGAUAACGUAGGGAAACUUACGCUAAUACCGCAUACGACCUCCGGGUGAAAGCAGGGGACCUUCGGGCCUUCCGCGGAGAGAUGAGCCGAUGUCGGAUUAGCUAGUUGGCGGGGUAAAGGCCCACCAAGGCGCCGAUCCGUAGCUGGUCUGAGAGGAUGAUCAGCAACACUGGAACUGAGACACGGUCCAGACCCCUACGGGAGGCAGCAGUGGGGAAUAUUGGACAAUGGGCGCAAGCCUGAUCCAGCCAUACCGCGUGGGUGAAGAAGGCCUUCGGGUUGUAAAGCCCUUUUGUUGGGAAAGAAAAGCAGCCAGUUAAUCCCUGGUUGUUCUGACAGUACCCAAAGAAUAAGCACCGGCUAACUUCGUGCCAGCAGCCGCCGUAA